UACGGAGGGUGCGAGCGUUGUUCGGAAUCACUGGGCGUAAAGGGCGUGUAGGCGGUCUGCUAAGUCUGAUGUGAAAGCCCGGGGCUCACCCCCGGAAGGGCAUUGGAAACUGGCGGACUCGAGUCCCGGAGAGGAGGGUGGAAUUCCUGGUGUAGCGGUGAAGUGCGUAGAUAUCAGGAGGAACACCGGUGGCGAAGGCGGCCCUCUGGACGGUGACUGACGCUGAGACGCGAAAGCGUGGGGAGCAAACAGG
Molecule: ribosomal RNA, 253 nt
Filed under: uncultured bacterium
Lineage: Bacteria
Description: partial 16S ribosomal RNA
Rfam family: Bacterial small subunit ribosomal RNA
Source: RNAcentral